This 216-nucleotide ribosomal RNA is filed under the name uncultured Burkholderiales bacterium. Its description in RNAcentral is "partial 16S ribosomal RNA". It matches the Rfam family "Bacterial small subunit ribosomal RNA", at positions 542 to 755 of the family's 1533-position model. Lineage: Bacteria; Pseudomonadati; Pseudomonadota; Betaproteobacteria; Burkholderiales. The record is from RNAcentral.
UAAUCGGAAUUACUGGGCGUAAAGCGUGCGCAGGCGGUUGUGCAAGACCGAUGUGAAAUCCCCGAGCUUAGCUUGGGGAUUGCAUUGGUGACUGCACGGCUAGAGUGUGUCAGAGGGGGGUAGAAUUCCACGUGUAGCAGUGAAAUGCGUAGAGAUGUGGAGGAAUACCGAUGGCGAAGGCAGCCCCCUGGGGAUAACACUGGACGCUCAUGCACG